UUUGGGGAAGAGAAGAAGACAGCUAUAACCUCAUUACUCCAGAGAACUCCCUCUCUACUUGCUGCUAAUUACUAAUAUUUGGUUAUAUACACACAAUCAAUGUAGCUUCAUUCAGCCCUCACAGCUCCAUUUUCAAUUGAUUCGAGUGCAGAGACGCUGAAUUGGCUGAGGAGUCAUAACUCAAAAGGGAGUUCUCUGGAGUAAUGAAGUUAUAGCUGUCUUCUUCUCUUCCCCAAA
This 237-nucleotide unclassified non-coding RNA is filed under the name Hevea brasiliensis (rubber tree). The record is from RNAcentral. Lineage: Eukaryota; Viridiplantae; Streptophyta; Magnoliopsida; Malpighiales; Euphorbiaceae.